This is an RNA transcript of Capsella rubella, 1617 nucleotides long. RefSeq lists it as uncharacterized. The transcript has 12 exons. NCBI's taxonomy places the organism in Eukaryota, Viridiplantae, Streptophyta, Magnoliopsida, Brassicales, Brassicaceae. The record is from RefSeq and is a predicted model, not a curated record.
CGUUCUCAUAGACUCUUCAUUUUAAUGGUGACAAGAGAGCUUGUGAUUCUAAUGGGGACGAGAGAGCAAAACAAGUCAGAGGUAUCGUUCUAAACCUAUGAAUCAAUUUUGCUAUUAGAAUAAGAGUUUUGUAUUUGUAUGUGGCAUCUUAAUUAACGGGUUUCUUUCUUUCUUUUGGGUGAAACGAAACAAACGGGUGUGUAUUCAUGUUCCAACCAAGACAAUGAAUCAGAUUUAUUCAAGGACCAAGUAGAUUCAUAACUAAAACGGUCGUUGGCGUUCUUACAGUAAGUGACAACAUCAAAUUGAUCGAUGUGAAGGUAAUCUAGUUCUUUAUUCCCUUGUCACUUCCAUAAAAGUGAGUCGAAUAUGCUUUUUAGAAGGUAAUCUAGGUCUUUGUCUUGUCCCCUUCCUCUUAAUUUUUUUUUUCUUUCUAAUGUGUUGAAUCUUUUCACUGCAUGCAAAGGAGUGUUAAAAACUUUUUUGUUUUGAAGGAUGAAGUAGAUACAGAACAAAAACGGUUGCCGGCGUAAGACAAUGGGAGAUAUACUAUGUUUUGAAGAAUGAAGAAGGUUCAUAACCAAAGAAAAACAAACUGAGGGAUGACUGACUCAAGUCAACAACAACAACGGGAAAAAUCUUCUUGAUGGAUGAUCAGAGGACAUGGCUUUUCUUCUUCAACUCUCAUAUGAUUUGGCAAGAACCUCCACUAUGAGAAAAUGAUCUUGAUGAUGGAGAUUUUGUUUUGUAUGGUUCACUCUCUCUCUUCGCAUGCAUAAUUUUAGGGAUGACCAGCCCAACAACAACAACAACAAAUCACCACCAACAAUGGAAAAAAUCCUCUCUUCUCUUGUCUACUCUUAGAAUCCAAGCAUUGUUGAUGAAUAAUCUGGUCGAGUAUUGUUUCCUGCCUUUGCAAGUGAUAGAUGUUAAGAGGACAUGGCGUUUCUUCUUCAACUCUCUCAUCUACUUUGCUCUCUACAAAAACAAGUCAUCAGUGAAGGAGAGAAGAAGCUCAAUCGUCGACAAGCAGACUUCAUUGCUGUUUACGAACAAGUCAGGCAAGCCAUCCCAUUACUCAACAAAAUUACUCAAUGUGUUCGGCUCAGUUCCCCAUCCAUAAGGUUGAUGCUGGAUUAUGGACCCAAACGAUGGAAAAAAAACCUCCUCUUCUUAUUGCUCUGUGCAACUGAAGUGGAACUCGACAAGGCACCAAAAUUCAAAGCAAAACCCUAUGAACAAAAAGGAUGGUGAUGUUACAAAUAGCACUACCAAUCUGAUUGAGGAAAAUUAUAGCCAUCACAAAUUUUAUGAUGUUAUGAAAUGUAGGAGAUAUGAUAUGGUUUGAAGAAUGAUUUAGAACCAAAAAGUUUAUAUCUUGUUACAGAUGAUCUUUGUUUCCGAAAUUGCACUCACGGUUUUGCUAUCGAUUACCAACUUAAUUAUACCAUGUAAAAAGGGAAAGAACAUAUGAUUGAUGAUGAAAGAUAGAAAAAAAAAAAAAAAAAAACAUAAACCCUGGAUGGUUUUGGUGGAUGUUUCCAGUGUUUGAAUAAUCUCGCCUAGUUCUUUAUUUGUUUCAGUCAUCUCUUUCUAAGAUUUCCUCAAUUUUUAUAU